This 86-nucleotide transfer RNA is filed under the name Sphingomonas sp. Its description in RNAcentral is "tRNA-Leu". It matches the Rfam family "tRNA". From Rfam's summary of the family: Transfer RNA (tRNA) molecules are approximately 80 nucleotides in length. Their secondary structure includes four short double-helical elements and three loops (D, anti-codon, and T loops). Further hydrogen bonds mediate the characteristic L-shaped molecular structure. tRNAs have two regions of fundamental functional importance: the anti-codon, which is responsible for specific mRNA codon recognition, and the 3' end, to which the tRNAs corresponding amino acid is attached (by aminoacyl-tRNA synthetases). tRNAs cope with the degeneracy of the genetic code in two manners: having more than one tRNA (with a specific anti-codon) for a particular amino acid; and 'wobble' base-pairing, i.e. permitting non-standard base-pairing at the 3rd anti-codon position. RNAcentral also lists the same sequence under 6 other names. The record is from RNAcentral. Lineage: Bacteria; Pseudomonadati; Pseudomonadota; Alphaproteobacteria; Sphingomonadales; Sphingomonadaceae.
GCGGACGUGGCGAAAUUGGUAGACGCACGGGACUUAAAAUCCCUCGCCCUUUGGGUGUGCGGGUUCGAGUCCCGCCGUCCGCACCA